UAGUGAAUUGUAUCCAAUUACCAC
Molecule: unclassified non-coding RNA, 24 nt
Filed under: Mus musculus (house mouse)
Lineage: Eukaryota; Metazoa; Chordata; Mammalia; Rodentia; Muridae
Description: oocyte_clustered_small_RNA13828
Source: RNAcentral